UCCGUCUAGUCGGAUAUGAAUAAUCCGACAUUUUUAUGGUAGGUAGUAUGUUCAUUAAACAACAGAUCCAGGUGUGAAUGGUCCUUUCAUCUUUAUCCGUGUUGCUAGAAUUACGGUUCACUGAUUUCAGAAUCAGAUUACCUGUAAUUUUAACCUCUCAGUCACUUUAUUGAUUAUAUUAGUUCUACAUCGUAUUUGACAUAAAAUAUUUUUACAGGUGAAGUACUGGAGAAAACUUUGUUUAAUAAAAAUAGCCUAUUUUUGUUAAUUAUGGUUUUGAUAUUUCAACUGUUAAUAUUUAUUUUCUUUGUUCCUAAAAAUUAUUUUUAUUUUAUGUUCCUUUUCGUUUUUUUUUUUUUUUUGUAUCUUUUUCUUAUUUGUUUGCAUAAAUUUUUUAAACAUAUAUAUUUUUACAUGUAUUCUAUUUCUUGAAGCUUACGGUUAUUUUUAUUUUACUGAUUUAUUUUCCACGUAAAUCCAUUGAUUAGCAGAAUGCUGUCUCAAGUGCUGCUGCAUACGUUUUAGUUUGACGCGGUCACAUGCAAAAUAUUUCUAUAAUUUGUAUUUAAUAUUCAGUCUGUUGUGUCAGUUCCGAGAUAAAAAUAAUUACAGUGAGCAACACUUGUAUAUUAUUAGUAGCUUGAUGAUUCUUUGUAGUUUUUACUUUUUACUGUAAACAAAUAUUGUCCGAAAGUUGGAGAUGUAUAACUAAAAUAGAACGCAAAUAAUAACACUAGAAGAAAAUAUUGAUUCUUCCCGGGCAUAAGUUUAUUUUAAGAUUUCCGUGUUUGUUCAUUAUGCUAAAUUAAUAUAAUUGAUCUGCAUUUGGGGGUAGGGGGUAAAAGGGGUCCGGAUCUCGAAAUCCCGGGCUUAAAAACACGAAGUCCCAAGGUCCCGAAUUUAAAUAAAUUUAAAUCCCGACAUCGCGAAAAAAGAAUUCCCAGAUCCCGAAAGGGUUAAUCCCGAAAUCCCGAACUUAAUUGCAUAAUAUUAAUUUACGCACAAUCCAUGUAAAAAAGGAAACUUGUAUGUUAUAUUUUUUAUAGCAAUCUAAAAGAAAAAAUUGCCGUGAAAAGACAAUUCCAUGAUACACAUAUCAGUGAUCAACAGCGUGUGCACGUGGUUGAACUUUAACUUGACUCCACUCACAAUAAUAUUGAAUGCUAAUAAAAGAUAUUAAAGAUCGAUUUUGUCCACUGCACGAGAUUUUUAUAUGGCGGGAAAUGUCGUAACAGUAAACACAGGUGACCUUACUGACCGACCGUGGGAAAAUUCAUUCAUGAUUAAAUUUGAUGUGGAAUGAUUGACAGUAUUGUGUUUUAGUUUUGAGGCUCUUGAUCGAUUUACCAGAAUAGAAAUUUAAUCGAUUUACAUACAUGUAUAAUCAAAACACGAUUUAGUCUUCUUUAACUAUUUUUUGUUUUAUUUUUAUCAGUCAUUUCCCGGAUUCCCAUUUAAAUAAUCUAUUUGGAGACCUCCUUUAAACUUCGGAAAUAAUACAACAUCGAUUUAAAAAAUCAUACUGACUGCGCGAGAGCUUUAGAAUGACUAGAAGUACGACGAAAAAGUAAAGACAGCUGAUCAUGACUAGUACGACUAGCCUUCAAACCCAUUGGGGUAUAAAUGUGCAUUUAGUCAAUAAACUAUAUAAGGUUAAACUUUGAUUUUCGUGUAUCGAUUUGAUACAAUUUGUAAAAAAUAUAUUUAUAACACCGGCGAUUUUCAUAAAAAAUUUCAGACAUGAAAAUAGAAAGGCAU
This 1758-nucleotide long non-coding RNA is filed under the name Mytilus galloprovincialis (Mediterranean mussel). The record is from RNAcentral. Lineage: Eukaryota; Metazoa; Mollusca; Bivalvia; Mytilida; Mytilidae.